RNAcentral lists this ribosomal RNA (526 nucleotides) under uncultured bacterium. RNAcentral's name for it is "bacterial SSU rRNA". It matches the Rfam family "Bacterial small subunit ribosomal RNA", at positions 984 to 1509 of the family's 1533-position model. The record is from RNAcentral.
ACAUUCAGAGAAUUUAGCAGAGAUGCUUUAGUGCCUUCGGGAACUCUGAGACAGGUGCUGCAUGGCUGUCGUCAGCUCGUGUUGUGAAAUGUUGGGUUAAGUCCCGNAACGAGCGCAACCCUUAUCCUUUGUUGCCAGCACGUAAUGGUGGGAACUCAAAGGAGACUGCCGGUGAUAAACCGGAGGAAGGUGGGGAUGACGUCAAGUCAUCAUGGCCCUUACGAGUAGGGCUACACACGUGCUACAAUGGCGCAUACAAAGAGAAGCGACCUCGCGAGAGCAAGCGGACCUCAUAAAGUGCGUCGUAGUCCGGAUUGGAGUCUGCAACUCGACUCCAUGAAGUCGGAAUCGCUAGUAAUCGUAAAUCAGAAUGUUACGGUGAAUACGUUCCCGGGCCUUGUACACACCGCCCGUCACACCAUGGGAGUGGGUUGCAAAAGAAGUAGAUAGCUUAACCUUCGGGAGGGCGUUUACCACUUUGUGAUUCAUGACUGGGGUGAAGUCGUAACAAGGUAGGCGUAGUGCU